RNAcentral lists this ribosomal RNA (548 nucleotides) under uncultured Glomeromycotina. Its description in RNAcentral is "SSU rRNA". It matches the Rfam family "Eukaryotic small subunit ribosomal RNA", at positions 548 to 1098 of the family's 1831-position model. Lineage: Eukaryota; Fungi; Glomeromycota. The record is from RNAcentral.
UUGGAGGGCAAGUCUGGUGCCAGCAGCCGCGGUAAUUCCAGCUCCAAUAGCGUAUAUUAAAGUUGUUGCAGUUAAAAAGCUCGUAGUUGAAUUUCGGGAUCAGAGUGUCGGUCGUGCCUCGGUACGCACUGGUAUUAUUGGUUCCUACCUUCUGAAGAACCGCGAUGUCAUUAAUUUGGUGUCGUGGGGAAUCAGGACUGCUACUUUGAAAAAAUUAGAGUGUUUAAAGCAGGCUUACGCUUGAAUACAUUAGCAUGGAAUAAUGAAAUAGGACGUUUGAUUCUAUUUUGUUGGUUUCUAGGAUUGACGUAAUGAUUAAUAGGGAUAGUUGGGGGCAUUAGUAUUCAAUUGUCAGAGGUGAAAUUCUUGGAUUUAUUGAAGACUAACUACUGCGAAAGCAUUUGCCAAGGAUGUUUUCAUUAAUCAAGAACGAAAGUUAGGGGAUCGAAGACGAUCAGAUACCGUCGUAGUCUUAACCAUAAACUAUGCCGACUAGGGAUCGGAUGAUGUUAAUUUUUUAAUGACUCAUUCGGCGCCUUACGGGAAAC